RNAcentral lists this transfer RNA (70 nucleotides) under Ipomoea nil (Japanese morning glory). It matches the Rfam family "tRNA". Rfam says of the family: Transfer RNA (tRNA) molecules are approximately 80 nucleotides in length. Their secondary structure includes four short double-helical elements and three loops (D, anti-codon, and T loops). Further hydrogen bonds mediate the characteristic L-shaped molecular structure. tRNAs have two regions of fundamental functional importance: the anti-codon, which is responsible for specific mRNA codon recognition, and the 3' end, to which the tRNAs corresponding amino acid is attached (by aminoacyl-tRNA synthetases). tRNAs cope with the degeneracy of the genetic code in two manners: having more than one tRNA (with a specific anti-codon) for a particular amino acid; and 'wobble' base-pairing, i.e. permitting non-standard base-pairing at the 3rd anti-codon position. The record is from Rfam by way of RNAcentral. Lineage: Eukaryota; Viridiplantae; Streptophyta; Magnoliopsida; Solanales; Convolvulaceae.
GUCGUUGUAGUAUAGUGGUGAGUAUCCCCGCCUGUCACGCGGGAGACCCGGGUUCGAUCCCCCAACGGCG